GCGGGAAUAGCUCAGUUGGUAGAGCGAACCUUGCCAAGGUUGAGGUCGCGAGUUCGAGUCUCGUUUCCCGCUCCA
This 75-nucleotide transfer RNA is filed under the name Stenotrophomonas maltophilia. RNAcentral describes it as "tRNA-Gly". It matches the Rfam family "tRNA". Rfam says of the family: Transfer RNA (tRNA) molecules are approximately 80 nucleotides in length. Their secondary structure includes four short double-helical elements and three loops (D, anti-codon, and T loops). The record is from RNAcentral. Lineage: Bacteria; Pseudomonadati; Pseudomonadota; Gammaproteobacteria; Lysobacterales; Lysobacteraceae.